Molecule: ribosomal RNA, 459 nt
Filed under: uncultured bacterium
Lineage: Bacteria
Description: partial 16S ribosomal RNA
Rfam family: Bacterial small subunit ribosomal RNA
Source: RNAcentral
CCUACGGGAGGCAGCAGUGAGGAAUAUUGGUCAAUGGUCGGGAGACUGAACCAGCCAAGCCGCGUGAGGGAUGACGGUACAGAGUAUCGUAAACCUCUUUUGUCAGGGAACAAUGGCGGGGACGCGUCCCCGGAUGAGUGUACCUGAAAAAAAAGCAUCCGCUAACUACGUUCCCGAAGCCGCGGUAAAACGGAGGAUGCGAGCGUUAUCCGGAUUUAUUGGGUUUAAAGGGUGCGCAGGCGGUCUGUUAAGUCAGCGGUAAAAGCCCGGGGCUCAACCCCGGCCCGCCGUUGAAACUGGCAGUCUCGAGUUGGAGAGAAGUAUGCGGAAUGCGCGGUGUAGCGGUGAAAUGCAUAGAUAUCGCGCAGAACUCCGAUUGCGAAGGCAGCAUGCCGGCUCCACACUGACGCUGAGGCACGAAAGCGUGGGUAUCGAACAGGAUUAGAUACCCCUGUAGUC